AACGAACGCUGGCGGCAUGCCUAACACAUGCAAGUCGAACGAGACCUUCGUGUCUUGUGGCGCACGGGUGCGUACCGCGGGGGAACCUGCCCGUAGGUUCGGUAUAACUCCCCGAGAGGGGUGCUAAUACCGGUUAAUGUCUUACGACCUAAGAGUUAUGGCCUUUGGAUGGGCGCGGGUUGGAUUAGCUGGUUGGUAGGGUACAAGCCUGCCAAGGCGACGAUGCAUAGCUGGUCUGAGAGGAUGAUAAGCCACACUGGGACUGAGACACGGCCCACAACGGUACGGGAGGGAGCAGUAGGGAAUAUUGGGCGAUGAGCGAAGGUCUGAUCCAGCAGUGCCGGGUGAGUGAUGAAGGGCUUAGGAUUGUACAGCUCUUUUAGCCGAGAUGAUAGUGACAGUACCGGGAGAAUAAGCACCGGCUAACUACGUG
Molecule: ribosomal RNA, 433 nt
Filed under: uncultured bacterium
Lineage: Bacteria
Description: partial 16S ribosomal RNA
Rfam family: Bacterial small subunit ribosomal RNA
Source: RNAcentral